GAUGAACGCUGGCGGCGUGCUUAACACAUGCAAGUCGAACGAAGAUGCCGGAGUGCUUGCACUUUGGCAGACUGAGUGGCGGACGGGUGGGUAACGCGUGGGUAACCUGCCUUAUACAGGGGGAUAACAGUUGGAAACGACUGCUAAUACCGCAUAAGCGCACGGUAUCGCAUGAUACAGUGUGAAAAACUCCGGUGGUAUAAGAUGGACCCGCGUCUGAUUAGCUUGUUGGUGAGGUAACGGCCCACCAAGGCGACGAUCAGUAGCCGGCCUGAGAGGGUGAACGGCCACAUUGGGACUGAGACACGGCCCAAACUCCUACGGGAGGCAGCAGUGGGGAAUAUUGCACAAUGGGGGAAACCCUGAUGCAGCAACGCCGCGUGAAGGAAGACGGUUUUCGGAUUGUAAACUUCUAUCAAUAGGGACGAAGAAAGUGACGGUACCUAAAUAAGAAGCCCCGGNUAACUACGUG
This 472-nucleotide ribosomal RNA is filed under the name uncultured bacterium. RNAcentral's name for it is "bacterial SSU rRNA". It matches the Rfam family "Bacterial small subunit ribosomal RNA", at positions 28 to 507 of the family's 1533-position model. The record is from RNAcentral.